Molecule: ribosomal RNA, 894 nt
Filed under: uncultured bacterium
Lineage: Bacteria
Description: bacterial SSU rRNA
Rfam family: Bacterial small subunit ribosomal RNA
Source: RNAcentral
GAUGAACGCUGGCGGCGUGCCUAACACAUGCAAGUCGAGCGGGAAAUUUACAAAUGAGAUUUCGGUCAAAUGAGUAGAUGGAGAGCGGCGGACGGGUGAGUAGCGCGUAGGCAACCUGCCCCAUACACAGGGAUAGCCUCGGGAAACCGGGAUUAAAACCUGAUAAAGCUUGGAAGUCACAUGGUUUUCAAGUCAAAGAUUUAUCGGUAUGGGAUGGGCCUGCGUCUGAUUAGCUGGUUGGUGGGGUAACGGCCUACCAAGGCAACGAUCAGUAGCCGACCUGAGAGGGUGAUCGGCCACAUUGGAACUGAGACACGGUCCAAACUCCUACGGGAGGCAGCAGUGGGGAAUAUUGCACAAUGGGCGAAAGCCUGAUGCAGCAACGCCGCGUGAAGGAAGAAGGCCUUUGGGUCGUAAACUUCUGUCUUUAGGGAAGAAACAAAUGACGGUACCUAAAGAGGAAGCCCCGGCUAACUACGUGCCAGCAGCCGCGGUAAUACGUAGGGGGCGAGCGUUAUCCGGAAUUAUUGGGCGUAAAGAGUGCGUAGGUGGUUUUGUAAGCGAGGGGUGAAAGGCAAUGGCUCAACCAUUGUUAGCCUUUCGAACUGCGAGACUUGAGUGCAGGAGAGGUAAGCGGAAUUCCUAGUGUAGCGGUGAAAUGCGUAGAUAUUAGGAGGAACACCGGUGGCGAAGGCGGCUUACUGGACUGAAACUGACACUGAGGCACGAAAGCGUGGGGAGCAAACAGGAUUAGAUACCCUGGUAGUCCACGCCGUAAACGAUGAGCACUAGGUGUCGGGGUCCGCAAGGAUUCGGUGCCGAAGUUAACGCAAUAAAGUGCUCCGCCUGGGGGAGUACGCACGCAAGUGUGAAACUCAAAGGAAUUGACGGGGA